UACGUAGGGGGCAAGCGUUGUCCGGAUUUAUUGGGCGUAAAGAGCGUGUAGGCGGCCAUUCAGGUCAGCUGUGAAAAACUCGAGGCUCAACCUCGAGACGUCGGUUGAAACCGUUUGGCUAGAGUCCGGAAGAGGAGAGUGGAAUUCCCGGUGUAGCGGUGGAAUGCGCAGAUAUCAGGAGGAACACCGGUGGCGAAGGCGGGUCUCUGGGCAGUAACUGACGC
Molecule: ribosomal RNA, 224 nt
Filed under: uncultured bacterium
Lineage: Bacteria
Description: partial 16S ribosomal RNA
Rfam family: Bacterial small subunit ribosomal RNA
Source: RNAcentral